AACAUCAUGGAGAGUUUGAUCCUGGCUCAGAACGAACGCUGGCGGCGCGUUUUAAGCAUGCAAGUCGGACGGUAGAGGGGAGCGAUUCUCUUGAGAGUGGCGAACGGGUGAGUAACACGUAGGUGAUCUGUCCUGGGUUUGGGGAUAGCCUGUGGAAACACGGGGUAAUACCGAAUACGCUCUGGGGGCUGUGGUCUCUGGAGGAAAGGCGCGGGUGCGUCGACCUGGGGGGAGCCUGCGGUCCAUUAGCUAGUUGGUGGGGUAAGGGCCUACCAAGGCGAUGAUGGAUAGCCGGCCUGAGAGGGUGUACGGCCACACUGGGACUGAGAUACGGCCCAGACUCCUACGGGAGGCAGCAGCUAAGAAUCUUCCGCAAUGGGCGCAAGCCUGACGGAGCGACGCCGCGUGGACGAUGAAGGCCGCAAGGUUGUAAAGUCCUUUUCUCUGUGAAGAAUAAGCGGGGGAGGAAAUGCCCCUGUGAUGACGUUAGCGGAGGAAUAAGCCCCGGCUAAUUACGUGCCAGCAGCCGCGGUAAUACGUAAGGGGCGAGCGUUGUUCGGAAUCAUUGGGUGUAAAGGGCGCGUAGGCGGCUUGGCAAGUCUGGUGUGUAAGGCUACAGCUUAACUGUAGUUAGGCGCUGGAAACUGCGAGGCUGGAGUGCAGGAGAGGGAGCUGGAAUUCCAGGUGUAGGGGUGAAAUCUGUAGAGAUCUGGAAGAACACCGGUGGCGAAGGCGAGCUCCUGGUCUGUAACUGACGCUGAGGCGCGAAAGCGUGGGGAGCGAACAGGAUUAGAUACCCUGGUAGUCCACGCUGUAAACGAUGUACACUAGGUGUUGGUCCAGAAGGAUCGGUGCCGGAGCAAACGCGUUAAGUGUACCACCUGGGGAGUACGCCGGCAACGGUGAAACUCAAAGGAAUUGACGGGGGCCCGCACAAGCGGUGGAGUAUGUGGUUUAAUUCGAUGGUACGCGAGGAACCUUACCAGGGUUUGACAUGUGCAGCGAGUCGUGAGAGAUCCCGAUGCCCUUCGGGGGCUGCACACAGGUGCUGCAUGGCUGUCGUCAGCUCGUGCCGUGAGGUGUUGGGUUAAGUCCCGCAACGAGCGCAACCCCUAUCUCUAGUUGCCAACAGGUUGAGCUGGGGACUCUAGAGAGACUGCCGGUGACAAACCGGAGGAAGGUGGGGAUGACGUCAAGUCAUCAUGGCCCUUAUGUCCUGGGCUACACACGUACUACAAUGGUCGGUACAAAGCGAGGCGAAACCGCGAGGUGGAGCGAACCGCAGAAAGCCGGCCUCAGUUCGGAUUGGAGUCUGAAACCCGACUCCAUGAAGGUGGAAUCGCUAGUAAUCGCGCAUCAGCAUGGCGCGGUGAAUACGUUCCCGGGCCUUGUACACACCGCCCGUCACACCACCCGAGUUGGGGGUACCCGAAGUCGGUAGUCUAACCUGCGAGGGGGGACGCCGCCGAAGGUACGCCUGGUGAGGGGGGUGAAGUCGUAACAAGGUAGCCGUACCGGAAGGUGCGGCUGGAUCACCUCCUUUCUA
This 1546-nucleotide ribosomal RNA is filed under the name Spirochaetales bacterium. Its description in RNAcentral is "bacterial SSU rRNA". It matches the Rfam family "Bacterial small subunit ribosomal RNA". Lineage: Bacteria; Pseudomonadati; Spirochaetota; Spirochaetia; Spirochaetales. The record is from RNAcentral.